CCCUUAGAUGUUCUGGGCCGCACGCGCGCUACACUGACGAUGGCAACGAGUUUUUCCUUCGCCGAAAGGUGUGGGUAAUCUUUUGAAACAUCGUCGUGCUGGGGAUAGAUCAUUGCAAUUUUUGAUCUUGAACGAGGAAUUCCUAGUAAGCGCGAGUCAUCAGCUCGCGUUGAUUACGUCCCUGCCCUUUGUACACACCGCCCGUCGCUACUACCGAUUGAAUGGUUUAGUGAGGACUCCUGAUUGGCGCCGCCGCCCCGUCAACGGAGCAGCGGACUGCCGAAAAGUUGUUCAAACUUGAUCAUUUAGAGGAAGUAAAAGUCGUAACA
This 329-nucleotide ribosomal RNA is filed under the name uncultured eukaryote. Its description in RNAcentral is "partial 18S ribosomal RNA". It matches the Rfam family "Eukaryotic small subunit ribosomal RNA", at positions 1470 to 1796 of the family's 1831-position model. The record is from RNAcentral.